Molecule: long non-coding RNA, 677 nt
Filed under: Zea mays
Lineage: Eukaryota; Viridiplantae; Streptophyta; Magnoliopsida; Poales; Poaceae
Description: drought responsive lncRNA
Source: RNAcentral
GCUAUAGCGAGGCGCUUGCCAAGUGCUUGGUGAAUCGCCUCAACCGGAUGUGGUUGUCGAUCUCGCGGAGUCGAGUCGAGUUUAGUCAUGGUACGUUCAUUGAUCACGUAAUGUGGAGGACAACAACUGGAAUAAUCUCAAGAUGGGACUGAUGAAUGAACCCAAAGCUAAAUGAUCUGAUCGUGCUGGAAUGGGAGGUGCUCGCCAAGCGAGUAUCAUCUAACAACACUGACUUAGUGUUUAUCCCAGGCAAGCCCCGGUGCAUUUGCCACCCCCUUGUUGUUAUAAAACUUUUAUCACUUAUAUGUUGCAUUAGGUGAUAGGAGUUAUGUGAAUAAACAGUUGAUGCAUUACCAUUCCUUGGAAUUUGAUUACUAUUCCUUGAUUCCUUUUUAUAAAAGAGAACUAAAGAUGCUUAGUCCUGCUUAGAUAAUUAAAAAGUUGUUCUUUUUAAUAAAGAUGAUGUGUUACACGGGAUAUGGGAAAUUUUUGUGAAAAAGAAAUUGGGAUGGUGAAUCCAUAUGGCCAUGAUGGAUUCAACAUCCAGAAAAAGUACCUCUGUCAGGUACCAAGGAUUGGGAAAUGAUUUAACUAAAAUGAGACCAGACGUUGAGCAGGAAAGGUCGCCCGUCUGUGUCGAUUAAGGACCGUUCCGAUUGUUGGCCUGCUGAUCUAGG